Molecule: long non-coding RNA, 1019 nt
Filed under: Daphnia pulex (common water flea)
Lineage: Eukaryota; Metazoa; Arthropoda; Branchiopoda; Diplostraca; Daphniidae
Description: uncharacterized LOC124194304, transcript variant X1
Source: RNAcentral
GCUCAUGGCCUGGUUAUGUGUUUUCGAGACGCUGAGUAAAAGUGGUUCUCUACUCAUUACCAUGGGUAUAGAAAGAGGCAUGAACACUUGAACAGAUUCCAAUCAGACUGGACAACAUGGGGAUGCUGCCUUAAUCUCUUUAACCAUGAUUUACAGGUGAUCGCCAAGAAAAAAUUUGAAAUAUGGAUUAUAAUCGAUGGAACAUGUGUUUGAAACUUAAGUUGCAGAGGAAUAUUUUUAAAAAAGCUGACUUUCCUUCAAACGGUUCGAAAUGGAAGAUUUCUUUCACCGAAGAAACAAGUCAAAUGACUCAAAUGUCAAUUGGUAUAAAUAGGACCAUCCCCAGCAGCGUCAACCUGUAGAAGGAAAGGCCAGUUUGCAUGUCCUUCACACUCGAAGGUCAAGGAGAUCAUUACGUAAAACGUGUUAUGCAGUGAUGUAGAGGCUGGACCCAUCCCCAGCAACGUCAACCUGCAGAAGGAAAUGCCAGUUUGCAUGUCCUUCCCGCUUGAAGGUCACGGAGAUCAUUACGGAAAACGUGUCAUGCAGUCGUGUAGAGGAUGGGUGUUAAAGGAACAUGUUUCAUCACUAUCAAGUAGGUACAAUAGCCGCAAGGCUGAAGAGGUUAGGAUGAGAAAAAAAUCGUUAGGAUAGAGAAAAGGUUAUAUAAAACAGUCGAGCGAGCAUCUCCCACACGGCAACAACAGCAGUGCCCAUUUGUCACCAACUGCAUUCCUCAUCGUGGAACCAAUACGCAAUCAUCGUUAACUAUAGCGGUGUGCUGCUGUCGGGUGUUGUAUCGUUGAUGGCUGGGUCGACCAUUGGUGUCCCGAUGUAUCCGUGAAUACCAAACCACAACGCCGCUGCCUUUCUACACGACAUCAACUUACGUAACGACCAGUUACUACACCACUAAAGCAAUGGAGUAUUACCACAAUUUACGCUGCCCCGAGCUACACCACCAAGGCACCGGAGUACUACACGACUACUUAUGCUGCUCCAUCCUACUACACCGAGGC